GUAGGUGAACCUGCGGAAGGAUCAUUAACACGUAUCCACGUUAUUCACCCGCGAACUGUAAAACACUUGAGGAGGGUAGCUUCUCUUCAAGUUUCUCUUGUUCUGUGUCGGCUAGGGAUCCUUGGACCAGUCCCAGACCUCUUCGGAGGGCAGGAACUGGCUCCAUUGGAUGUACGAUGCCUUCAGGAAUAGGAUGCAGUGCUAAUGUUUGGAGUAGGGAACCAGGAACCUUCGGGGGAAUGGGGAUCUACACUGAGCAUGGCGCAUUUCUAAACCGGAAAAGUGUGAGAUUCGUGAAGUAUCUUCGGAGAAAACGAUGACGGCUCUUUUUCCUUCUCUGUUUAUUUUUGUCUGACAAAAAUAAAAGUUGUUCACUUAUGUGGGCAAUUUUUAACCGAAUGCCGUACAACUCUUAGCAACGGAUAUCUUGGUUCUG
This 436-nucleotide unclassified non-coding RNA is filed under the name rhizosphere metagenome. RNAcentral describes it as "partial ribosomal RNA internal transcribed spacer region". The record is from RNAcentral.